Molecule: transfer RNA, 69 nt
Filed under: Rattus norvegicus (Norway rat)
Lineage: Eukaryota; Metazoa; Chordata; Mammalia; Rodentia; Muridae
Rfam family: tRNA
About the family: Transfer RNA (tRNA) molecules are approximately 80 nucleotides in length. Their secondary structure includes four short double-helical elements and three loops (D, anti-codon, and T loops).
Source: Rfam by way of RNAcentral
GGGGAUUUGGCUCAGUGGUAGAGCACUUGCCUAGGAAGCACAAGGUCCAGGGUUCGAUCCCCAGCCCCG